GCGCCUAACACAUGCAAGUCGAACGAGAAAGGGGAGCAAUCCCUGAGUAAAGUGGCGUACGGGUGAGUAACACGUGGGUAAUCUGCCCUUUGGUGGGGAAUAACCCUGGGAAACCGGGGCUAAUACCGCAUAAGUCCGAGAGGAGAAAGCAGCAAUGCGCCGAAGGAGGAGCCCGCGGCCGAUUAGCUAGUUGGUAGGGUAAAAGCCUACCAAGGCAAAGAUCGGUAGCCGGCCUGAGAGGGCACACGGCCACACUGGCACUGAAACACGGGCCAG
RNAcentral lists this ribosomal RNA (276 nucleotides) under uncultured bacterium. Its description in RNAcentral is "partial 16S ribosomal RNA". It matches the Rfam family "Bacterial small subunit ribosomal RNA", at positions 44 to 334 of the family's 1533-position model. The record is from RNAcentral. RNAcentral also lists the same sequence under 1 other name.